UUUUUUUUUUUUUUUUUUUUUUUGUCUCCUUCUUUGCCUUUAAAAAACCAGACUCAGGGUGAAAUCCUGGGCCAAUAGGAGGUUGUUUACCGAAUAAAGAAAAGUCCUCAGAUUUAGGUGUUUUCUCCACCGGUGCCUGAGGUGGAGGUUUAUAUUUUAAAAAAACAAAAUUUUUAGUAGAUGUUUUAGGAAAGGACUAUCCUCCUCCCAAUUUAUUUUUCUAUUACCUUUUUUUUAAAAAAAAAAAAAAAUCCUAUCCUGUGUCUCUCUCUCCAGUCUCACCUCUUGACUCUUUCACUGUCUCUAAUCUCUGUUUCUUUCCAUUUUUUCCCUACUUGAUCUCUCCUCUGCAGCUCCUCCACCCCCUAUAUUCCUUCUUGUUUCAAUCUUUUGUUUUUGUCCCCAAUUUUUUUUUGGGGGGGGGCUCAUAGGCUCUUUUUUAAGUCUCCAUACUCUUGUGUUUUUUUUGCUGUCCCCCUCUCUGUCUUUUUACCUCCUCUUUCCCCUCUUUCACUUACUUAACUUUUUUUUUCUUUUUGUCUCUCCUUCUCUCUGUCUUACCACUUACCUAUAAGGAGGUCCAUCCAUUUUACCUGAGGUUUAAUAGUGUUUUUAGGAUUUCAGUGUCUUGACUUCGGUGAACUUCCACAGGAAUCAACAUUUAGGUGAUUAAUAACAAACAUUGUAUGAUUAACCACAUGAUGAGGAAAGCUAUAUAUAAAUUCUCCUCCCUGUAAUUUAGUUAUUUGAUUUUUAAUAUUUGGUGUGCCCUUUUUACUAUUGCUUGUCCUUGAGGGUUAUAAGGAAUCCCCCUAGAAUGAGAAAUAUGAAACUGGGCACAAAAAUGACUGGAAGGAUUAAGAUGUAUAAGCUGGAGCAUUAUUUGUUUUAAGUUGUUUAGGUAUUUUUAACUGUGUAAAACAGAAAAACAAAUGUUAAAUAACAUUUUUAGAGGCCUCACCUAUUUUGGCUGAGGCCCAAAUUACACUGGAAAACUGGAAAAAUGAGUAACAUCCAUUUGUCAAAGGGCAUUUAGUUUGAGUCCCCGUCAAAAACCAUUGGGAAGUACAAAGAGAAAUCCAUAUGACCCUCAACUUUAACCCUCCGUCUGGCAGCCCUAACCCCAGAGAAUUGGGCCCUCUGUGUUUUUGUCACAGGAGGCGAGUAUCCAGAAUGUCUUUGGCCAAAUCGUUCCCUAUGGGGAGACUAAAGUCAAGGGACCCUUAUUAAUUAUAGGAUAUGUUGUAAAGGCGUGGAAAUCUUCCCUAUGGUAUCUAGCUGUAGCAUCUUCUAACUCCUCCUCCUCCUUUGGGGAUAAUACAUUGCCAUCAGCAGGUGUUGUGGUAAGCAUUACUUGGGAAGGAGCAGGGGGUAAUAGGGAAAUAUUUUCUCCUGGUUCCCGUUUAGCUUUAAGGGGCAUUUUAUCAAUUUCUUGUUGAGGAUAUAAUACAUCUCUAAUUAUAUACCAUGAUGCAGAAGCAUCUACAGGCACCUCUUCUGGACUGUGAUGAGUAUAAUAAAGCUUCAACUGUUUCUCUACUUCGGUCCAAGUUUUAAGAUUAACGGCGCCUUCUUCUAGAAACCAGGGGCAUUGUUCUUGUACGAGGUGUAAAAAUCCAGCAAUCUGAAAAUGAGUAACUUUUACAGCUCAUUUAUUUAACAUGUGUAACAAAAAAUCAAUGAAUAGUUGUCUCUCUUUUGAUUUUGUAUGACCCAUGGUCGUUACAAUAUCUUUACAGCUAUUUUGCAGAUUACUUAUCUUUACAAUAUCUUUACAGUUAUUUCACAAAUUACUUAUCUUUACAUUGUUACAUGAUUACUCACCCCUACUCUCCCUGCAUCUUUCUACAGGGGGGUCCCAGGCACCCCAGGUGAGAUCCUAGCUGUCCCAAUACUUACUUUUAAUGAUUACUCCUUCGGGCCCCUGUUGGGGCGCCACUUUGCCGGAGGCCAGCUCCAGCGGCCAGGGAGUAUACAUCCCGAUCAGAGAUGGACAGCGGAGGCCAAAGAAUGGAGACAGCCUCUUUGGCCCUUCUUUCAGGGCCCCGGACUGCUCAAAUUUUACUGGCAUAAGUGGUUAAUUAUACAGACAGUUUUUCACUACAGAUUACAUCGUAGUGUUAAAAGUACAUUGGUUAACUAUUAGACUUUGUUUUUUGAUCACAUGGUACAGGAGCAAUACGUCAUGUUUUAAAAUCUUUAGUCUAACUAAAUUUAGUGAGUACAAUUCAAGGACAAACAGGUGCAGCAUAUCACGUGGGAAAGAGGAGACCCAGCACAAACCAUCUGAUGGCCAGCCAAUUCCCACACGCUGAAGAAGUUACAAACACAAAAAAUCCUGUCUUUAGACUAGUGUCUAUCUUCAAAGUGUCCUUGGCAGGGAGACAGUGUGAGAAACUACAAAUCAACCUAGCUAGCUACUGUUCAAACUUUCUAAAGUCAAAGACAAAACUCACAGCUAGGUUUCUUUUGAUCAAGAAUAAUAUAUGUCUCACUUCUAUGGACUUCAUUAAAAUCCUAACUCCACUGCAUGACUAGUUAGUAGAUAAACACUGUGUUUUUAAUUAAGUUGGAUUUAAAUAGGGGAAAGUCCUUUAGGAUGAAAUUCUUAUUAUAUUAUUAUUGUAUUUUUGUUAAGUCACAAAUCACCACAGAAAAAUAAGAAUGAGAAAUAAGAAUAAUAUGCAAAUAAUCAGGACAGGCUGAGGAAAACUGAAUAACAAAUAAAACAUCAAGAAAGACUAGGUCACCCGAGAAACAAUCCAUGUUCUCCGGUGCAAACAUGGAAAUUGUUUGCCCAGGAAAGCCCCAAUUCUUCCCCAUCAACAUCAAAAUGAGAGCCGUGUAACCUGAGGCCUGCCCUCGGCUUGUACCAUACAGGCAGGCUUUUAACCUGUCCAGAGGCCCACCUUCAGCAUGUACCAUUCAGGUGAGUGCCCUUCCUUGGUUAGGAACCUGCCUUCAGGUUUUUCUGCAAUGAGGCAAGGUCCUUUUUUUGAGUCCUUGCAUCUCCUUGGCUGCCCGCAGAUGAGAGCAAAAAUAAAUGCAAUAGAGUCCAGAAAAACAAUAAAAAAGAUUUAUGGUCAAUUAUUCCACACCCAUAUAUGAUAAAAAUGCUCAAUAAAAUGGGUAUAGAAGAAAUAUAACUCAAUAUAAUAAAAGCCACAUAUGACAGACCCACAGCUAACAUCAUACUCAACAGUAAAAACCAAAAGUUAUCCCUCUAAAAUUAUGACCGAAACAAGCAUGCCUACUCCAACCACUUUUAUUUAGCAUAGUAUUAGAAGUCCUAGAUAGAGAAAUUAGUCAAAAAAAAAGAAAUAAAAAGCAUCCAAAUUCAUAAGGUAAGAAAACUGUCACUAUUUGUGAAUGAUAUAUUUUAUAUGUAGAAAACCCUGAAGACUCCACCAAAAGAAAAAGUAUUAGAAAUAAUAAAUGCCUACAGUAAAGUUGCAGUGUAAAAAAUCAAUGUACAAAAAUCUGUUGUGUUUCUAUACUUAACAAUGAAGUAGAAAGAGAAAACAAUCCCAUUUUUACAAUUGUAACAACAACAAAAAUACCUAGAAAGAAAUUUAACCAAGGAGGUAAAAUACUUGUACAUUGAAAACUAUGACAUUGUUGAAAGAAACUGAAGAAGAAACAUAGAAAUAGAAAGAUAUAGCAUGCUCAUAGAUUGGAAUGAUUAAUAUUGUUAAAAUGUCCAUAUUACCUAAAACAAACUACAGAUCCAACGCAAUCCUAGUCACAUAAAUAGAAAAAGAAAUCCUAAAAUUUAUAUUGGAACUACAAAAAACCUCAGAUAGCCAAUGAAAU
Molecule: long non-coding RNA, 3813 nt
Filed under: Sus scrofa (pig)
Lineage: Eukaryota; Metazoa; Chordata; Mammalia; Artiodactyla; Suidae
Description: lncRNA (ENSSSCG00000063396.1)
Source: RNAcentral